Molecule: long non-coding RNA, 3014 nt
Organism: Olea europaea var. sylvestris
Lineage: Eukaryota; Viridiplantae; Streptophyta; Magnoliopsida; Lamiales; Oleaceae
Exons: 2
Source: RefSeq, a predicted model, not a curated record
AUUGUAGUCAUUCACAUGGUAUACAUUCAAUGUGGGAUUUUGAUUUGAGACUUUGUACACAUAAUAUUUAUUUUAUGGGGUAUUUCGGGAUUAUUUUACGUGCUACUGUUUUGUUCUCUCUCCUCCUCUUUAGGGAAGUUUUAGUUUCUGCCCGUGGAUGUAGGCUAAGGCCCAUACCACAUAAACCACUUGUGUUUGUUCUCUCUGUGUUGCCUAAAAUCUCGAUUUGCUACUUCUGCAUAACAGAAACAACUGUUACAAAAUACAGUGAGAACAUUCAGAACUAAACAUAUGCUGGUCAUCACUGAUGAGCUCUGUUUUGAAUCAAAGAAAUCCACAUAUUUCUUUAUGGUGAUGCAUCUUUGACUGUGAGGUGUCAGUACCUUAUUUCUUCUUUUUUAACUCGACGGUUCUCGCAUAUCCUACUGUCUUCCACACUUGAAACCCUCCACCGGAGAUACUUUUCUUAAUAAAAUUCUCUUUGGAGCUCAGUUUCAUCUCUGAUUAAACCGGUAACAAUUUGUUUCAUAUCGAAUAGUUUGUGAGGAUAUUUAACGGUUUUUGCUCUUUAUUUGCUAUUCGGUUAUAAGUUAUUUAUUCAUGUUUUUUCGUAACUUUUUUGGUUCGUGAUUGCAAGAAGUUCUAAGUAUUUUUUAUUUCUUUGGAUUGUAUAUGAAAUAUUGGUUUUGAAAUUCUACUUCUCCUCAAUUAUCGUAUUUGAUGUUUACUUGUUUCCAAGAGUAACAUAUUUCUGUUUGGUAGAUGAGCAUUAAGGGUUGAACAGGAAAAAAGAAAGACACUAAUCUUAUUCCUAAUUCUUUUUUAUUUUUCUAUUUGUUCCCUAGAAAUAUUAGUCUUCAUAUUUCUGUAUGUUUUCUGAAACGGAAAACGUGUCCUGAACAUGGAGAGGCAAUGCCUAAUAGUUAUUUAAGUUUUUAGAUUUUGAUAUUGUUUUGUUCUUAGUUUCUCUCUUUAAUGUUCCUUUUAUAUUUAUUCAGUACUUUCAAUUGUUAAAAUGUUGUUUAUUUCUGAGAAGGCUGUGAUGUUUCUGGUUAUGGGAAAGCCGGUGUGCUUGAUUUUUCAUUCCAGUGUCAUAUUUUGUGCUUUCUAUCAGAAUAUUUUAUAUGAGGUAAGCUCUCUUGCUUGCCCAACAGAAUUUUUUGUCUUUUUCCUUGUCAUCCCUAAUGUUCAUUAUCAAACAGAAAAUUCUUCAUAUAGCAUGUAAUAUGAACAUCAAAUAUAAGAACAAUGGAGAAGUGGGGUUUCAAAAUGAAUAUUUCACUUACAGUUUGAGAGAAUAUUACCUGAUAAACCAAGAUCUAAAAGGGAAGUUUGUUAAAAAGGGCAUUUCAGGUUAGGGUUUGAAGAAGUGAGAUGGAGCCUCCAUUUGGCAAAACUUAUAAACAAUAAUUGGUCAAACUUCAUUUUCAAUCAAACAUUUCAAUGACCCACAAGUGCCAUCCAAUUAUCUGUCGCUCAUCUUCUAUCUAUGUAGAAAUUAAAAACCAUUCAUAAAUUCUUCCUAAACGGAGGUAGAAAUUGUAAGAGAGUCCAUUGAGUGAAAAAAAGAGGAUGAAAUAAUAACCAAGUUCAUAUCCUUUAUUUGGCCUUUAUUUUUGAAAGAUGAUCAUUAUGCUAUUAGUUUAAAUUAUUAUAAAGAGAAACUGAACCUUUUGAUAGGCGGAGAACCAAAUUUAUCUACUCUGCAAGUCAUUCAGUCUGUUGCCCCCUCCCCUCCACUUGUGUAUUUCUCUUCUGGGGAUUUUCAGCUGUCGACAAUAUUAUUUAGCUAGAAGUAGUCAUCUAAUGUAACUCUUUCUUCCCAUUCUAGGCACAUUUUUAAGAGUGGUUGUAAGGCUUUAUCCUGGUCCAUUUUGUGUUUACACCUGUGAAUAGGUUUUUGCUGUUGCUGUUUGUCUUUGAGUAUUGCCAUUUUAUCCCUAUCCUCAUGUGGCAUUAUAAGACCAAUUGAGAGUGUCUAGUUGGUCCUUUUAUGUGACCCUACCAUCACAUGGGGAUGAGACUAAUAGCAUAAUUUUUCUCUCUGUUGUUGGGUUUUCAUUUAAUGUUUAGGUUUCUUAGCAAUGGUAACUACUGAUAGGGUCAAGGUCGUCUUCUACAGUUGUGGAUUGAUGUACAGGUUUGAAUCCCCCCACUCUUCUUCAUAUCCAUACAGAUAAAUAAGGGAAAAAGCAAUCUUGCUCCAAAUUUUGUUACAUCUUAAUCAGCUACUUCUCAUUGCUGUAUUUUGUUCUGUGUGAGGAUUGUUUUAUUGUUGGGAGACUUUUUUUUUAACAAAUGGUGGGAGAGGGAACUUGCAUAUAGGACGGUGAGAACUAUAUACUCGAAAGUGCGGCAUGUAUUAAGGUGGUCACUUUUUCGGAAAAGAUCAUGAGUCUGAUGAUUUAGCCCCCUGUUUAGCUAAAAAUCAGUUUUUAAGUAGAUUUUGAUGAAAACUGAUGAAAUAUGUUGUUGAAAAGUUGAUAAAGUUGUAGAUUCUAUGCGGGGUUGAAAAUGAAGCAUGAAGAAAAAUGAGUUUUAGAAAAUGGGGGUCAAACAUGGAGUUAAUACAAUUGGAUGGUCAUAUAAUGCUCUGCCAUUGAGAUGGUGGAGAGCGACUCGAAAACUUGGAUGAGUGUUGAAACAUCCAUCACAGAUGUAGAGUGUUGGGGAUUAUUGAUGUAUGUGUGACCAUCACAAUGCUGGAAAAUAAGUGUAGAUUAUUUCAUAAUUUUGUAUGGUUAUGAAGAUGCAAGGAUUGACAAUCUUAUAGAAACCCCUCUAAUCAUGCUUAGAAUCAAACAAGCAUCAAUAGACUAGAAGAACGAAGGGAUUUAGAGCUUUUUAUUGAUCAGGUGACAAUCGGAUUUGAAGUGGGGAAAAAGGAUUUGUAGUUCCCUGCUUGACUACCUCGGUCACGCUGCCAAAAUGGAUAUGAUAAUUUUUCCGGAUUAUGAAAUUUUUGUUGUACCGAGUCCUAUUUUUCUAAAAGAAACAUCAUUUUCCAUUCCAUU